CUAUCCCUAGUGACAUGCGUGAAGAAGCUUGGAAAUGGUGCUGGGUAGGAGCUGAGUGUGCAGAAUGUGGAAAGGCAUUCUAAACCAAAGGAAGAACACGAGUAAAGAUGAUGAAGCAGGGAUAAGGCUAAAAUGAAAUUUGUGAUCUGAUCCACAUACAAGCACAGUGUAGUACAGCUGGAAUAUAGAGAAGAGCUUGAAGACUUAUGAGCAACUAUCCCGGUACUCUUGGAGGCUCUGCAACCACAGUUUGAGAAACUCCGCGUUCAAAGUUAAAAACUGUCACCUGAAUAGUUAAUAACAUCAAAGAUUGUGAAAGCAAGUAUAAAUAACACAGAGAUUAAAAUAAUGAGGCAGGAUCAGAAAAUGAUGAAGGUUUAAGAAGCAGCAUCAUCAGCGAACUGUGUUUUGAAGAUUUGAGGGAAGGGCUGACCUCAGGAUUUUAUACUAGUUGCUGACCUCCAUAACAGCAGACAAAAUUGGAAGCAAGAGUGAUUUUGGAGGAGUCACACUUAGAUGUUUCCCUUACCUAUUUCUGUUCUGGAAAUUUAAAAAUCUUACUUCUCGUGACAGUCCUACAUGAAAAAUUAAAAAUCACAAGGAUUCAUGGAUGGAAAA
Molecule: long non-coding RNA, 618 nt
Filed under: Homo sapiens (human)
Lineage: Eukaryota; Metazoa; Chordata; Mammalia; Primates; Hominidae
Description: long intergenic non-protein coding RNA 2028
Source: RNAcentral